RNAcentral lists this ribosomal RNA (301 nucleotides) under uncultured bacterium. RNAcentral's name for it is "partial 16S ribosomal RNA". It matches the Rfam family "Bacterial small subunit ribosomal RNA", at positions 509 to 807 of the family's 1533-position model. The record is from RNAcentral.
CAGUCGCCACGGUAACACGUAGGUGGCAAGCGUUGUCCGGAAUUAUUGGGCGUAAAGGGCGCGUAGGCGGUUUUGACAGUCAGAUGUGAAAUUCCUGGGCUUAACCUGGGGGCUGCAUUUGAGACGUCAAGACUAGAGUGUGAGAGAGGGUUGUGGAAUUCCCAGUGUAGAGGUGAAAUUCGUAGAUAUUGGGAAGAACACCGGUGGCGAAGGCGGCAACCUGGCUCAUUACCGACGCUGAGGCGCGAAAGCGUGGGGAGCAAACAGGAUUAGAUACCCCCGUAGUCCCUGUCUCUUAUAC